AAUCUUCCGCAAUGGGCGCAAGCCUGACGGAGCAAUACCGCGUGUGGGAUGAAGCGGCUACGCCGUGUAAACCACUGUCAGGGGACGGAAUCAAUGAUUGUCCCCAAAGGAAGAGACGGCUAACUCUGUGCCAGCAGCCGCGGUAAUACAGAGGUCUCGAGCGUUAAUCGGAAUCACUGGGCUUAAAGGGUGCGUAGGCGGCCCCGAAAGCGUCGUGUGAAAGCCCCUGGCUCAACCAGGGAAUUGCACGGCGAACUGCGGGGCUUGAGAGAACUAGGGGCUGACAGAACAGUAGGUGGAGCGGUGAAAUGCGUAGAUAUCUACUGGAAUGCCGAUGGUGAAGACGGUCAGCUGGGGUUCUUCUGACGCUGAGGCACGAAAGCGUGGGGAGCAAAC
Molecule: ribosomal RNA, 396 nt
Filed under: uncultured bacterium
Lineage: Bacteria
Description: bacterial SSU rRNA
Rfam family: Bacterial small subunit ribosomal RNA
Source: RNAcentral